AGAGCAGGACAAGAAGCUCUGUCCUUCCUUGCUUCCAGAUCCUGCAGCCCUGUUUUCCAUGGAACAGCCUCUCCUGAUCCCAGCUCUGACAUUUCCUGCAGGGAAUAAGUGAUGGCAGUGACCCAUGAGGGCUGGGAGCACUGGGAGCACUGGGAGCACUGGGAAAACUGGGAGCCCAUUUAAUUCCAUGCCACAUUAACAACAGCCACUGACAUCCCUGUGAGCAAACAGGACCUGCAGCCCCUGUGAGCAUCAGCAGCCAGGGCUUCGUGCAUAGACAGCUCCAGUCAGGGCCCCUCUGAAAAUCAGCACCCUUAAGAAACCUUUUUUCCAGCAGCACUGGCUAUUUAGGCCAAUUUUUAGCAAUUUUAGUCAUUUUUGGCCUCCUCCACACAUCACUACUGCCCUGAGUGUCCCUGGAGUCAAGGGAACAGCAACAAAGCUUCAGAGGAGAACAAGCAAAUGUUCCUUCGGAUUUCAAUGGGGUGAAAUCACUCCAUGGCAUUUUUACAGCAGCAUGGAGGGACAGGAACGGCUUCAAACUGACAGAGAGCAGGGUGAGAGUGGGAGAAAGGAAGAUUAUGUGAAUUUAUCCAGAAGUUGGUCAAUCCCUUAAUCCCAGGAGGUCAGAGCCAUCCCACCUGGAUAAUCAGCUGGAUUUCACUCUCUCCUUGGUGGGCUGCUGCUUCCAAGAAAAUCUCAUUCCAAGACACAAAGAGCCAGGGGCCAAACCUGCUCCAGCUCUCCUGUGCUGGUCUCAGGAAGCAGAAUUUAAAGGCCCUCGUUCUGCAGCAUCUUGUCACUGUGUGACAGAUUCCCAAAGGGCAGCGUUCCCAGAGUUUCUGACAUGAUUCCUGUGCCUUCCCUGUCUCCCUCCCCACCAGACCCCGGCGAUGCCAGAUCGGAUCAGGGAGAUGGAAGAGCUCCCACAGGAACCUUGCAGCAGCUUUGUGUCACUUGGCUGCAGAGCAGAGGGGUCGGUCAGGCUGAUGGCACCGCUCUGAGGAGUCCAUGGAUCCACAUCCAGCUUCCAGGGAGCCAGGCAGCAACCACAGGUCUUGCUGGAAGUAUUGCCCAGAGGGAGCUGCACAUCCCAGAACAGCAGAAUUCAUGUUUAAUGGCUCUGCCCUGGCACACGGAGGGAGCUGGGCAGGAAAGGGCCCCCCCACCAGCAAGACACAAAGCCACAACAUCCCCAGUCUUGGGAGGCUUUUCCUGAGAUAAGUUGGUUAGAGCCUUUUUUCCUUGAAAGCUUGUGCCAGAAGCAGAAGGAGGAGUCGGAGUUCACCAGUUCAGGUUUCUCAAAGUUGUUUAUUGUCUCUUAUCUCUCAGUUUUUUCAGUGCCCUGCCAAGGUCCUUGCUGCAGCAAGGGCACGCGGUGACUCCCCCCAGGUCGGGAGGGCUCAGACCUUUGGUACCUUUUCUCUGACCCAACCAUCACCCAAGAUGUAUUUUUUAUUUACUGUUGAUUACCAAUACCUACUGCCUAUGUUAGACAGGUCACUUCCAUCCUAAACCAAUCCUCUGUGACCCACCACAGCAGAAGAUGGAGGACAAGGACAAGAAGGAAGAAGGACAAGGCCACACCCUGAUUCCUCCCUCUUGC
Molecule: long non-coding RNA, 1606 nt
Organism: Prinia subflava (tawny-flanked prinia)
Lineage: Eukaryota; Metazoa; Chordata; Aves; Passeriformes; Cisticolidae
Exons: 4
Source: RefSeq, a predicted model, not a curated record